UACGUAGGGGGGCAAGCGUUGUCCGGAAUCAUUGGGCGUAAAGAGCGCGUAGGCGGCCCUGUAAGUCCGCUGUGAAAGUCAAGGGCUCAACCCUUGAAUGCCGGUGGAUACUGCAGGGCUAGAGUCCGGAAGAGGCGAGUGGAAUUCCUGGUGUAGCCGGUGAAAUGCGCAGAUAUCAGGAGGAACACCAGUGGCGAAGGCGGUUCUCUGGGCCUACCUGACGCUGAGGAGCGAAAGCGUGGGAGCAAACAGGAU
This 255-nucleotide ribosomal RNA is filed under the name uncultured bacterium. RNAcentral describes it as "partial 16S ribosomal RNA". It matches the Rfam family "Bacterial small subunit ribosomal RNA", at positions 524 to 778 of the family's 1533-position model. The record is from RNAcentral.